This 559-nucleotide ribosomal RNA is filed under the name uncultured bacterium. Its description in RNAcentral is "partial 16S ribosomal RNA". It matches the Rfam family "Bacterial small subunit ribosomal RNA", at positions 355 to 914 of the family's 1533-position model. The record is from RNAcentral.
UAAGGAAUAUUGCUCAAUGGGAGAAAUCCUGAAGCAGCAACGCCGCGUGGAGGAUGAAGGGUUUUUAACUUGUAAACUCCUGUAAAGAAGGAAAAAAUUCCCAUUAGAUGGGAAAUGAUGGUACUUCUGGAGUAAGCCCCGGCUAACUACGUGCCAGCAGCCGCGGUAAUACGUAGGGGGCAAGCGUUGUCCGGAUUUACUGGGUGUAAAGGGUGCUCAGGCGGAUUUGUAAGUCAGAGGUGAAAUCUCACAGCUUAACUGUGAAACUGCCUUUGAUACUGCAAGCCUAGAGUAUGGAAGAGAGUGAUGGAAUAUCUGGUGUAGCAGUGAAGUGCGUAGAUAUCAGAUAGAACACCAAUGGCGAAGGCAGUCACUUGGUCCAUAACUGACGCUAAAGCACGAAAGCGUGGGUAGCAAACAGGAUUAGAUACCCUGGUAGUCCACGCCCUAAACGAUGAAUACUAGAUGUUGGCUUCGCAUGAAGUCAGUAUCUGAGCUAACGCAUUAAGUAUUCCACCUGGGAAGUACGAUCGCAAGGUUGAAACUUAAAUGAAUUGAC